GACGUAGGGCGCGAGCGUUGUCCGGAUUUAUUGGGCGUAAAGAGCUCGUAGGCGGCUUGUCGCGUCGUCUGUGAAAUCCCGCGGCUCAACCGCGGGUCUGCAGUCGAUACGGGCAGACUGGAGGUAUGCAGGGGAGAACGGAAUUCCUGGUGUAGCGGUGAAAUGCGCAGAUAUCAGGAAGAACACCGGUGGCGAAGGCGGUUCUCUGGGCAUGUCCUGACGCUGAGGAGCGAAAGUGUGGGGAGCGAACAGG
This 253-nucleotide ribosomal RNA is filed under the name uncultured bacterium. Its description in RNAcentral is "partial 16S ribosomal RNA". It matches the Rfam family "Bacterial small subunit ribosomal RNA", at positions 524 to 776 of the family's 1533-position model. The record is from RNAcentral.